Molecule: non-coding RNA, 72 nt
Organism: Parcubacteria group bacterium GW2011_GWA2_38_13b
Lineage: Bacteria
Source: Rfam
GCCCUCGUCGUUCAACGGAUAGGACGCGAGCUUGCGGAGCUUGCAAUCGAGGUUCGAUUCCUCGCGAGGGCA